This is a long non-coding RNA of Amphiprion ocellaris (clown anemonefish), 1029 nucleotides long. The record is from Ensembl. Lineage: Eukaryota; Metazoa; Chordata; Actinopteri; Pomacentridae.
GUUGUCAUGUUUGACACACUGUGAGUCACAGUGCCUUAUAGGUACAACACAGGCAGCAGCUGUCACCACAAUUUUAUUUCCCAUUACAGAUAAUUGAAUGUAAUGUGUGUGCAUCCCCUUUAGUCUUAUUCUAAUAAGCUUUGUAACACAAUAGCAUUAGGAUUGUCCAUCUAAUAGGAUGCAAACUGUUAGGUUUGAUCAGACAUAUUGGUGCAUGCAGGCAGUAUUAACUGGGUAAUGUGAGAGAACUGAUAUAAUUACAGUGGAGGUUGGGAACAGUCAAGGUUAUAGUGUUUUGUCUCAUUGUUUUCACUGACAAUCUAAUUUUUGUCCUAACGCUUGUGUUUAUCCUCUUUCCAUCAUCAGUGAUAGAACUUGAAGUUUGAGUCCAAUUUUUCAGUUUGCCACAUAUCCCAUAUUCUCUAGGUUUCGGCAUUUAUAUUUAUGGAAAAAAUAUGAUUGUAUUGUCUUUCUCUGUUCUUCCUUUUGAAAUCUAAAUCCCUGCAUCUCUGUUCUGUCUGGAGGUGGAGUUAAGCCAGUGAUAGGCAAAUAAUGAGGACUGCUGUCAGGGGGAUUUUGGCAGGCUCUUGGGGGGAUUGAGGACGCCUCACUGGGAGGCCCAGAACCUCAGGGAUUACUGAGCUCACCCUCUUCUUUGCCAGCUCCCAUAGGACAGGUGACCCCACUAUCCUGGACUCAACUUAAGACAUCAUGCAUUGCUAGAGCUAAAUUUGACGAUUUCUUGCAGGGUUUGAUUAAAAAUGCAGCAGUGGGUUUGCAGCAUGAGUCAUACUUCAGCGCCUGUGGUAAAGAGGAAAUCGUGUCUCUUCGUGCAGCGCCAUUUGAAGAACUUUUGGGAAUUUUGUUAUCUUCAUGACCCUCAGGAGGAGGAAGGAGUAAUCUUAGAACUGACUGGAGGCCAAUACUGUUAUCUCUUCUCUUCCACUUUGCAUCAUUACUAAAGCAUCAGAGCAGGACAGACAAUGCUAACAAAGGAAGUGUGGACAGCUAUGACUGUUACAGCCGGAC